AGAUUGAACGCUGGCGGCAUGCCUUACACAUGCAAGUCGAACGGCAGCACGGGAGCAAUCCUGGUGGCGAGUGGCGAACGGGUGAGUAAUAUAUCGGAACGCGCCCAGUCGUGGGGGAUAACGCAGCGAAAGCUGUGCUAAUACCGCAUACGAUCUAUGGAUGAAAGCGGGGGAUCGCAAGACCUCGCGCGAUUGGAGCGGCCGAUAUCAGAUUAGCUAGUUGGUGGGGUAAAAGCCUACCAAGGCGACGAUCUGUAGCUGGUCUGAGAGGACGACCAGCCACACUGGAACUGAGACACGGUCCAGACUCCUAGGGAGCAGCAGU
Molecule: ribosomal RNA, 325 nt
Filed under: uncultured soil bacterium
Lineage: Bacteria
Description: bacterial SSU rRNA
Rfam family: Bacterial small subunit ribosomal RNA
Source: RNAcentral